GUGAUAUUGUUGCUGCGGUACUUUCUUCUUCUUCUUCUUCAGAUCGCCUAUUUUGGUUUCAGCUCGGGAACAUCUGCAAGCAUCUGCAGAGAUCUGACAACAAGAUGACCUUUUAAACUUAAUCAAGCUGAAGGUUCACAGCUACCCUGGCGUGGGAGUUAGAAGAUGUGGUCAGAGAUAUUUUGGCAUAGAGGAAGCUAAUGGAGUUGUGCAGCUUCCUUAUCACCCACCCACCCUCUUCCUAAAGAAAGCUACAGAAAUUUUGUUUCUCAAGUUACUCAAAAAUAAGAGGAGGUACAUAAUGACCAAACCAAGAAAUUAUGUAUUUGCCCUAUAAAGAAGAUACUGCAUAUCUGAUUACAUCAGAAGACAAUGAACAAAGCGAUUGGAGGUGGCUUAUUCAUACUCGGACAAAGUCUUCCCCAACCAAGGACCUUCCUGAUGUCUUCGAACCCAGAUUUCUUAGCUUAGAUGGCCUUGACUUCAUUUAGGCACAUGAUAGUUGGGAACACAGCGCUACCAUAAAAGUUCCCUCGACUGUAGGAGAAGGAGUGGCAGAACCUGGGGCGGAGUUAAAAGAGGAAUCAGCCUAGAAUCGCUAUGUAGCCACAAGCAAACUAAGUUCAACCUCCCUUGAACUCCAUGGACCUUUAUCUACCUCCUAGCAGGUGCUAACAGUUAGUUGAAUAGA
This is a non-coding RNA of Pantherophis guttatus, 691 nucleotides long. NCBI's taxonomy places the organism in Eukaryota, Metazoa, Chordata, Lepidosauria, Squamata, Colubridae. The record is from RefSeq and is a predicted model, not a curated record.